Molecule: long non-coding RNA, 1614 nt
Organism: Pipistrellus kuhlii (Kuhl's pipistrelle)
Lineage: Eukaryota; Metazoa; Chordata; Mammalia; Chiroptera; Vespertilionidae
Exons: 3
Source: RefSeq, a predicted model, not a curated record
UCCCAUUAACCAGAUUGACAGCUAACUGCACAAUCCGGUAUAUAGCAUUAAGAAAAACCUCUCCAGGCCUGUGCGGCAGCGGAUCCAGAGAGAGGCUAGCCAGACUGCUCCAGCCAUGAGGAUAGAAGGGGAGACAGCACAGAAUGGAAGACAGUGAGGACACCUUGCCAUGCUAGCAGUCAGCAGGUAUGCGUCACUGCAGGUUGCUCAGGACCAAGCCAUAGAAGGUCAAACCAAGGUGCAUUGCCACCAUUUGUCCACCAUCCAGAACUGAAAUAUUGCUGACAUGUACACAUAAGGAACUGUUGGACAUUGAAAUUGGGACUCAAAACUGUUGGACAUUGAAUUGGGACUCAAGAAACUGCUGGCCCGGAAAGAAACUCACUACAGACUAAUUCAUUUGCCUCUCAGCAUAACCACAAUUGCUUGUCUCUUUGUUCUCAUGUGUUGAUUUCUAGUCUGCAGAUGCAAGAUGUUUUAAGGAAAAGAAACAGGAGAGAUGUUGGAGGCCACCCAUUGGCUUCUCUAGCAGAAAGAAGUGGACCAAGAACCCAGAAAGCUGGUCAACCUUGAGGCUCUGGCAAGGGUUAGAGCCAAGCACCCACUGUGUGGUGGAGACAAAGGGAGCUGGAGCAACUUCCACCUUUUAGUCUCAUGUAAGUCCUCGCUGAUGGGCUAUCACCAGCUCUUACUGGAAUUGCCUUCCUAAGGGCUAUGGAUGUACCCAGACCUCAGUAAAAAGGACAGCAAGGCCAGAGCAAAGCAGAGUCCUCUCUUAGGCUUCCACCUGGCCCCCAAUUCUCAAAUUAUUUUCUUGUCGAGUCUCUUUCAUUUGUGUGCGCCUCCUCUAAAACCCAAACCCUGAACCUGAACCCUGAGCCAUGCAGGAUGCGGGGGUACACUCGCAACUGGAGCCCAAUGUGAGGGGGUCAUAUUCGCACAAAUAUAAGCAGCUGGCUCAUGGUAGGGAGAGAGCAGAUGUUUGUGGGUGACCUGUUCUCCCACGCCGCCGGCAUUACGGAAUAAACACUCAUAUAGGAUUCAACUCUAUCUCUGCUUAAUUGGCUCCAGUAGGGACGGGCACGAGGACCGAUGGAUUAUCUGGUCUCUGGCAGGAGGUGUUUGGACCUCACCCUAUUCCACGGGACUCUGGCUGCUGGUCUCUGUUGGUCACAUCAAAAAGUGAACCGAUCCCUUGCCUUCCCAGCGACACUGACCUUUAGGCCACUUCACAACCCACAUUCCCUUUCGGCUUAGACUACAUUCCACCUGCUAAAACCAUUCUCUUUUCCCUCUGGAUUUUCCCAGGAUCCAGACCUGCCCAGAGAGUUCCCCACCGAAAAAAGCCCACCUAAAGUUCUUUAAAACCUCUGACCUCCACCCCGGGGACUGGCACCCUUUGGGGCUCAGCCCUGGAUUUCCGAUGACAUAAUAAAUUCAUACUUCUUUACCCCUUUCAGCCUCAUACUUUCCUCCUUCGGUGUUGUAGAAAAGGGUGUAUUUAAAAUGUUCCUUAAGAGGCUGAAACUGGUUUGGCUCAGUGGAUAGAGCGUCAGCCUGCGGACUGAGGAGUCCCGGGUUCUAUUCCGGUCAAGGGCAUGUACAUUGGUUGCG